This 641-nucleotide long non-coding RNA is filed under the name Ananas comosus (pineapple). Its description in RNAcentral is "long non-coding RNA (ACOM_LNC026734)". Lineage: Eukaryota; Viridiplantae; Streptophyta; Magnoliopsida; Poales; Bromeliaceae. The record is from RNAcentral.
UUGCAUGCAUUUAUUAAUUUUUUGUUGGUUUGGGCUCAACUGCUGCAGUUGCAUCUAUACGAGAAGGCCCAACUGCAGCAGUUGAGCUGGAGUCGGCUUAUCGAUUAAAAAAAUAAAUAAAAUGUGAUUUUUUUUUUCAUACGCUUUUUUUUCUUUUCUUUUUUUUUUUUUUCCAAAAAUACAUAUUUAUGAAAUCUGAUAGAAUUUAGUAAUGUCUGUUAGGAUCAAUAAAUUUUUUUUUACAUAUGCUUCUUAUUUUUCACUCUGCUAGUUUAAAAAUACCUUAAUUUUUAUUUUGACCAAAUUUAUAAUAUAUUUACAUUUAAAAUUUAUUAAAUUCAUAUAUAAUUUUAUAAUAUAUAAAUUAUAUAUAGAUAUAAAAGUCUUAAUUAAUAAUUAAAACAUAAAGAAGAGGUAAUCUCACCAUUCUAUCUAAAAAUUGAUAGAAUUUAUAAAUACAAAUCUCAACUGCAGACUACCAAACAGAAGAAAUGUAACUGCAACAGUUGUAAUUGUAUAAAACCAAACAGAUUAGAUAUAGUUAUGCCUGCAGCAUUUAUAACUGUAUGUACUUCCAACUACACUAUUUUUAUAACUACAUUCAACCAAACGGCCUCCAAAUGAACGAACUCUUGGUCUUG